Molecule: ribosomal RNA, 1166 nt
Filed under: Rhodococcus pyridinivorans JCM 10940 = NBRC 100608
Lineage: Bacteria; Bacillati; Actinomycetota; Actinomycetes; Mycobacteriales; Nocardiaceae
Description: bacterial LSU rRNA
Rfam family: Bacterial large subunit ribosomal RNA
Source: RNAcentral
GAGCUGGGGGUGGUCGCAGAGACCAGAGAGAAGCGACUGUUUACUAAAAACACAGUCCGUGCGAAGUCGUAAGACGAUGUAUACGGACUGACGCCUGCCCGGUGCUGGAAGGUUAAGAGGACCGGUUAGCGGAGCAAUCCGCGAAGCUGAGAAUUUAAGCCCCAGUAAACGGCGGUGGUAACUAUAACCAUCCUAAGGUAGCGAAAUUCCUUGUCGGGUAAGUUCCGACCUGCACGAAUGGCGUAACGACUUCUCUGCUGUCUCGACCACAGACUCGGCGAAAUUGCAUUACGAGUAAAGAUGCUCGUUACGCGCGGCAGGACGAAAAGACCCCGGGACCUUCACUAUAGCUUGGUAUUGGUGUUCGGUUCGGUUUGUGUAGGAUAGGUGGGAGACUGUGAAGCUCAUACGCCAGUAUGGGUGGAGUCGUUGUUGAAAUACCACUCUGAUCGUAUUGGACCUCUAACCUCGGACCAUGAUCUGGUUCAGGGACAGUGCCUGGUGGGUAGUUUAACUGGGGCGGUUGCCUCCCAAAAUGUAACGGAGGCGCCCAAAGGUUCCCUCAGCCUGGUUGGCAAUCAGGUGUCGAGUGCAAGUGCACAAGGGAGCUUGACUGUGAGACUGACAGGUCGAGCAGGGACGAAAGUCGGGACUAGUGAUCCGGCACCGGCAUGUGGAAGCGGUGUCGCUCAACGGAUAAAAGGUACCCCGGGGAUAACAGGCUGAUCUUCCCCAAGAGUCCAUAUCGACGGGAUGGUUUGGCACCUCGAUGUCGGCUCGUCGCAUCCUGGGGCUGGAGUAGGUCCCAAGGGUUGGGCUGUUCGCCCAUUAAAGCGGCACGCGAGCUGGGUUUAGAACGUCGUGAGACAGUUCGGUCUCUAUCCGCCGCGCGCGUUAGAAACUUGAGGAAGGCUGUCCCUAGUACGAGAGGACCGGGACGGACGAACCUCUGGUGUGCCAGUUGUCCCGCCAGGGGCAUGGCUGGUUGGCUACGUUCGGAAGGGAUAACCGCUGAAAGCAUCUAAGCGGGAAGCCUGUUCCAAGAUGAGGUUUCUCACCCCCUCGAGGGGUAAGGCCCCCGGCAGACCACCGGGUUGAUAGGCCGGAACUGGAAGCCCAGCAAUGGGUGGAGGUGACCGGUACUAAUAGGCCGAGGACUUACCACG